Molecule: long non-coding RNA, 259 nt
Organism: Mesoplodon densirostris (Blainville's beaked whale)
Lineage: Eukaryota; Metazoa; Chordata; Mammalia; Artiodactyla; Ziphiidae
Exons: 3
Source: RefSeq, a predicted model, not a curated record
CCUCCCAGGGUGUAACUUACUUUACCUGGUCUCCGGCACAGGGUGGGCGCUGCAGCGAUCCGUCCCCCGCCGGCCGCCGCCGGUUCGCCUCGCUGUCACCGGGCUGUUGGAGGGUAGCGAUGACGUUUUACUCCUCCCUGUAAUCUUCCAGCAUCCAGCACAAAUUCCUGUAGAUAGAAGGUCACUGAAGAACCAUUAAAUGAAUUACUUCUGCUGUGCACUUAACAUCACUAGAAGUUUAAAUCAUGAAAGCAUGUUC